This is a long non-coding RNA of Epinephelus lanceolatus (giant grouper), 363 nucleotides long. RefSeq lists it as uncharacterized. The record is from RefSeq and is a predicted model, not a curated record. Lineage: Eukaryota; Metazoa; Chordata; Actinopteri; Perciformes; Serranidae.
GAGGCUUCAUUCCGCCAUCACUACUAUACAGUGCUGCCAGGUCCAACCUGAAGAGAGGCAUCAAGGUACCAAGGAGGACUACAGGCAGAGAAUAGAAGGGCAUUUCAGCAAGGGAGACCCAUGGAAGGCAUGGCAAGGAGCACUGGGUGGUGGAGGAGCAGUGAUGCUGCAGGACCACUGUGUGAGAGAGGACGCUGCAGAUAAGUGCUGAGUCGACCUUGGUGAGACUUAAAACUUAACAAGCACAAGAAGAACAGGGGGAUGCAAUGGAGCCUGAACUCACCCCGCAAUGAAACAACCCCCUUACCCUGAGUCUCAACUCCGUGGGUUUUGCAAGCCUUUCCAUGUUCCUUAUUUUUAAUA